CACGUAGGGUGCGAGCGUUGUCCGGAAUUAUUGGGCGUAAAGAGCUCGUAGGCGGUGUGUCGCGUCGGCCGUGAAAACCUGCAGCUUAACUGUGGGCUUGCGGUCGAUACGGGCAUCACUGGAGUUCGGCAGGGGAGACUGGAAUUCCUGGUGUAGCGGUGAAAUGCGCAGAUAUCAGGAGGAACACCGGUGGCGAAGGCGGGUUUCUGGGCCGAUACUGACGCUGAGGAGCGAAAGCGUGGGGAGCGAACAGG
This 254-nucleotide ribosomal RNA is filed under the name uncultured bacterium. Its description in RNAcentral is "partial 16S ribosomal RNA". It matches the Rfam family "Bacterial small subunit ribosomal RNA", at positions 524 to 776 of the family's 1533-position model. The record is from RNAcentral.